AGAGUUUGAUCCUGGCUCAGGACGAACGCUGGCGGUGUGCUUCACACAUGCAAGUCGAGCGAAUGAAGUAGGUAGCUUGCUACUUAUGGAUUUAGCGGCGGACGGGUGAGUAAUAUAUAGGAAUCUGCCUUAGAGCGGGGAACAACAGACCGAAAGGUUUGCUAAUGCCCCAUAGGUAUGCAGUCUUCGGAUUGUAUAUUAAAGGAGUAAUCCACUCUAAGAUGAGCCUGUAUCCGAUUAGCUAGUUGGCGGGGUAAAGGCCCACCAAGGCUACGAUCGGUAGUUGGUCUGAGAGGAUGAUCAGCCACAAUGGGACUGAGACACGGCCCAUACUCCUACGGGAGGCAGCAGUGGGGAAUUUUACACAAUGGGGGAAACCCUGAUGUAGCGACACCGCGUGAACGAAGAAGCCUUUUGGGGUGUAAAGUUCUGUCGGCUGGAACGAAAAAAAUGACGGUACCAGCAAAGGAAGCAUCGGCUAACUACGUGCCAGCAGCCGCGGUAAGACGUAGGAUGCAAGCGUUGUCCGGAUUUAUUGGGCGUAAAGAGUCCGUAGGCGGUUAUUUAAGUCUGAUGUUAAAUACUGUGGCCCAACCACAGAACUGCAUUGGAUACUGGAUGACUUGAGUGCGGUAGAGGCAAGUGGAAUUCCCAGUGUAGCGGUGAAAUGCGUAGA
This 676-nucleotide ribosomal RNA is filed under the name uncultured bacterium. Its description in RNAcentral is "bacterial SSU rRNA". It matches the Rfam family "Bacterial small subunit ribosomal RNA", at positions 8 to 694 of the family's 1533-position model. The record is from RNAcentral.